RNAcentral lists this unclassified non-coding RNA (143 nucleotides) under uncultured Hymenoscyphus. RNAcentral describes it as "sequence contains ITS2". The record is from RNAcentral. Lineage: Eukaryota; Fungi; Ascomycota; Leotiomycetes; Helotiales; Helotiaceae.
UAACCACUCCCGCUUGCGGGGUCUUGGGUUUCGCCUCCGGGCGGGCCUUAAAAUCAGUGGCGGUGCCGUCGGGCUCUACGCGUAGUAAAUUUUCUCGCGAUAGGGUCCCGGUGGAUGCUUGCCAACAACCCCCAAUUUUUUAA